Long non-coding RNA from Prunus dulcis (almond), 2053 nucleotides. RefSeq lists it as uncharacterized. The record is from RefSeq and is a predicted model, not a curated record. The transcript has 5 exons. Lineage: Eukaryota; Viridiplantae; Streptophyta; Magnoliopsida; Rosales; Rosaceae.
AGUCAUGUACUUGAGGUGUUUUAGUGGUUCUCUUUUUCAUUUGAUUGCUUUUGUGCAGUGCAACAUAAGAAUGCUUGGAGGACUUGUCUCUGGUCAUCUACUUGCCACUGAUUCUACAGACAGGUUGGGUGAAGGUACACAAGAAUCAGCGGCUUACUUUGGCCGAGGAUUUGGGGAAACACUUUCUACCUGCAUUUGACACACCGACUGGAUUACCAUAUGCAUGGGUUAACUUAAAGGUGGUUUUGUUUUUAAGAAGGAUAUACGACUCCCCAUCAAUGCAAAAUUCCGUGGACCGUAUGGAGUGAUUGAGAAUGAGACUACUGAAACAAGCACUUCAGGGUGUGGAAUUCAGGUUCUCUAAUUCUGGAAAUGGGAGCAUUAUCCCAAUUGACUGGGGACCCGAAAUACAAAUCUGCAGCUUUACGUGCUCAUCGUUGAAUUUACUUGGUACAAACACUGGAUGUAUCAACUGGGGAAUGGAUUGAAUAUUCAACUGGGAUUGGGGCUGGGGUUGAUUCAUUUUAUGAGUAUCUAGUUAAGGCUUGCAUUCUUUUUGAAAAGGGGAAGUUCUGGAGAAUGUUUCAUUCUGCUUAUAUUGCUGUGCAGGAAUAUUUCAGACAUGGUCCAAGAACAUAUACAUCAUCCACAACAAACUAGCAGAACCAAAGUGGCCCUUACCUUCAUGAAUGGAUCUCCUUCCUCCCAGCAGAUCUUGCCUUCCUCCCAAUCUCCUUUCAGAAAAGCCUCCUCAUCCUGACCUUGCAACUCAUCAUCUUCCUUGAGGUAUACACCCAAUUUCUUAAGUGGGAGUCCAAAGUGGACCUGUAGAAAAGGAUCUUCACUGCCACAGCCACACAACAUCUCAAGUUGUUUGAGAUCCUAUAAAUGGUCCUCAAAAUACACUGACUUCUCCAUGUUCAAAAUGGUACGGCGAGCCGAUUCCCUUUCCUUAGUCCGUUGCAUCAAUUUUCUGCUUGGUGGAGAAUCAGGUGGACCUUUAAUUAUCUUGUUUGCUUUCAAUAUUGUAUCUGAAAAUCGUAUCUUCAGUGACCAAAUUCGGCUAGCCUUGCAUGGAGAAAGAUUAUGCGAGGCCUGAUCCAUGGCAUGAUGAACAAGGGUAGUCAAGAUCAUCUUUGGUUGAAUCAACUGGCUGAGAAUCAAAAACCCCAAGCCCUUGAGUUUGAAGAACUAGAAGUAGAAGAGCUCUUGCCCUAUUUCAGUUUGGGUGACACUAACAAACCCUUGACUUUGCACAAAGGACAAGUAGUCUUUGGCUUUUUCUCUAUGGCUUUUUUCCACUUGGUCUCAAAAACACCACUGCGAUUCUUGGUUUCUCCAUGCUCAAUUCUCCCAAACCGAUAAUAUCUUAAAGCACUUGAGAAGAUAAGCCUGACAUUAGCAGCAAAGCCAUUAGCGCUGGAGUAGGCACCUCUCUCCAAUUUGGAUUUCACAGUACCGAAAUCCGUCGGCCUCCCGAUGUCGUCAAAAUAACCAGGCAAAUUCUCGGCCACAAGAUCAACCACAUGCUUAACGAAGAACCUUGCAUGGCGGAGCAUCAUGUGAAAACCUAAGAUUUCAGAACAAUACAUCGUUUCUUUCCACCAACACCCAGUUUUGCCUCUUGCUCUUUGGGGUCUGAUGGAGAUCAUCUAAACCCAGCUCCUCCAAUUGGCCAUGCUUUCUAGAAGACGAAGCCAAAGUGAUGAUGGUCUUGCCUUGUUUAUGUGACAAACCCUUGCACAGAGGAAGACAAGCAGUUGGCUUUUCCUCCUUGAAGACCUCUUGCUCUUCUUGCUCCAUGGCUAUGUAUCAAAAUUUUUGUUCACAAUGUAAAUUCUUAUGUAAACGUACCUAAUGCUCAUUGUGUUUUAUGUGUAUGCUUUAUCAGCUUGUCAUAAAGUGAUAAUAUGGUGGUUUGAUGAAUGUGAGUAUGUAUAUUUUGUUUCUGCAGUUGAUUGCUAAGGAAUUUGGAAGUGUGUGUUCCCUUGAGUUUUUUUCUCAUGUGGAAGUGUGUAUGUUUUUUGGUAAUGAGAAGUAAUGUCUUCGGUAA